CCGGCUUACCAACCCGAUGCAAACUGCGAAUACCGGAGAAUGUUAUCACGGGAGACACACGGCGGGUGCUAACGUCCGUCGUGAAGAGGGAAACAACCCAGACCGCCAGCUAAGGUCCCAAAGUCAUGGUUAAGUGGGAAACGAUGUGGGAAGGCCCAGACAGCCAGGAUGUUGGCUUAGAAGCAGCCAUCAUUUAAAGAAAGCGUAAUAGCUCACUGGUCGAGUCGGCCUGCGCGGAAGAUGUAACGGGGCUAAACCAUGCACCGAAGCUGCGGCAGCGACACUGUGUGUUGUUGGGUAGGGGAGCGUUCUGUAAGCCUGUGAAGGUGUGUCGUGAGGCAUGCUGGAGGU
RNAcentral lists this ribosomal RNA (351 nucleotides) under Salmonella enterica subsp. enterica serovar Enteritidis. Its description in RNAcentral is "partial 23S ribosomal RNA". It matches the Rfam family "Bacterial large subunit ribosomal RNA", at positions 931 to 1280 of the family's 2925-position model. The record is from RNAcentral. Lineage: Bacteria; Pseudomonadati; Pseudomonadota; Gammaproteobacteria; Enterobacterales; Enterobacteriaceae.